ACAAAGCAGUUUUUUUCUGCAUCGCUGGAAGCACUUGAAUUUCAUCCCAGACUCUUGUAAUACUUUCACAAGUAUUUGCUUCACCUCAAUUAA
Molecule: non-coding RNA, 93 nt
Organism: Tinamus guttatus (white-throated tinamou)
Lineage: Eukaryota; Metazoa; Chordata; Aves; Tinamiformes; Tinamidae
Source: RefSeq, a predicted model, not a curated record